This 86-nucleotide transfer RNA is filed under the name Candidatus Iainarchaeum sp. Its description in RNAcentral is "tRNA-Leu". It matches the Rfam family "tRNA". From Rfam's summary of the family: Transfer RNA (tRNA) molecules are approximately 80 nucleotides in length. Their secondary structure includes four short double-helical elements and three loops (D, anti-codon, and T loops). Further hydrogen bonds mediate the characteristic L-shaped molecular structure. tRNAs have two regions of fundamental functional importance: the anti-codon, which is responsible for specific mRNA codon recognition, and the 3' end, to which the tRNAs corresponding amino acid is attached (by aminoacyl-tRNA synthetases). tRNAs cope with the degeneracy of the genetic code in two manners: having more than one tRNA (with a specific anti-codon) for a particular amino acid; and 'wobble' base-pairing, i.e. permitting non-standard base-pairing at the 3rd anti-codon position. The record is from RNAcentral. Lineage: Archaea; Nanobdellati; Candidatus Iainarchaeota; Candidatus Iainarchaeia; Candidatus Iainarchaeales; Candidatus Iainarchaeaceae.
GCAGGGGUACCCAAGUCCGGUCAAAGGGGCAGGACUUAAGAUCCUGUGGCUAAGUGCCUUCAGCGGUUCGAAUCCGCUCCCCUGCA